Molecule: unclassified non-coding RNA, 441 nt
Filed under: Hevea brasiliensis (rubber tree)
Lineage: Eukaryota; Viridiplantae; Streptophyta; Magnoliopsida; Malpighiales; Euphorbiaceae
Source: RNAcentral
AUUUGCCUCAACUAUCUGUAGGUAUCAACCAUUCAAGAAACAAUGAAGUCACAUCAAUAAAUAAGGUUGAUGGUCCUAAUGUAUCUCAUUACAAACCAUUAUCAAAAGGUUCCAAUCUUAAUGGGCAAUUAUCAAGCAAAAUUGUAAACGCCAAAUUCGAAAAAGCAAAUAAACUUUGGCAGGGUAAUGCAUCUAAUCAAAUAAGAGACAGUGUGAAUGGGACUGAUACCAAGGUGGUUACUGUCAAAGCAAAAAGUGUUAUCCUGGAGCAAGCAACUAUCGAAAGGGAAAAGAAUGCAGUUAAAUCGGUGGCAACUGAUUUUGUGAAUGGAAAUGAGGCUAAGAUUGUCAGUGAUAAAGGAACAGGUUUAGAUCAGAUUACCCUCCGUGAGAGGCUGGGUGCAAUGUAUGAAAAAGUGCAUAUAGUUGACAAUUUAUCUG